Molecule: ribosomal RNA, 626 nt
Filed under: uncultured bacterium
Lineage: Bacteria
Description: bacterial SSU rRNA
Rfam family: Bacterial small subunit ribosomal RNA
Source: RNAcentral
GUCUCGCAUGGGACAGUGUGAAAAACUCCGGUGGUACAAGAUGGAUCCGCGUCUGAUUAGCCAGUUGGCGGGGUAACGGCCCACCAAAGCGACGAUCAGUAGCCGGCCUGAGAGGGUGAACGGCCACAUUGGGACUGAGACACGGCCCAAACUCCUACGGGAGGCAGCAGUGGGGAAUAUUGCACAAUGGGGGAAACCCUGAUGCAGCAACGCCGCGUGAGUGAAGAAGUAAUUCGUUAUGUAAAGCUCUAUCAGCAGGGAAGAAAAUGACGGUACCUGAGUAAGCAGCCCCGGCUAACUACGUGCCAGCAGCCGCGGUAAUACGUAGGGGGCAAGCGUUAUCCGGAUUUACUGGGUGUAAAGGGAGCGUAGACGGUAAAGCAAGUCUGAAGUGAAAUGCCAGUGCUCAACACUGGAACUGCUUUGGAAACUGUUUGGCUGGAGUGCAGGAGAGGUAAGUGGAAUUCCUAGUGUAGCGGUGAAAUGCGUAGAUAUUAGGAGGAACACCAGUGGCGAAGGCGGCUUACUGGACUGUAACUGACGUUGAGGCUCGAAAGCGUGGGGAGCAAACAGGAUUAGAUACCCUGGUAGUCCACGCGGUAAACGAUGAUUAAUAGGUGUCGGGG